AUUGAACGCUGGCGGCAGGCUUAACACAUGCAAGUCGAGCGGGGUGAUGGUGCUUGCACUAUCACUUAGAGGCGGACGGGUGAGUAAUGCUUAGGAAUCUGCCUAUUAGUGGGGGACAACAUCUCGAAAGGGAUGCUAAUACCGCAUACGUCCUACGGGAGAAAGCAGGGGAUCACUUGUGACCUUGCGCUACUAGAUGAGCCUAAGUCGGAUUAGCUAGUUGGUGGAGUAAAGGCCUACCAAGGCGACGAUCUGUAGCGGGUCUGAGAGGAUGAUCCGACACACUGGGACUGAGACACGGCCCAGACUCCUACGGGAGGCAGCAGUGGGGAAUAUUGGACAAUGGGGGGAACCCUGAUCCAGCCAUGCCGCGUGUGUGAAGAAGGCAUUAUGGUUGUAAAGCACUUUAAGCGAGGAGGAGGCUCUUUUGGUUAAUACCCAAGAUGAGUGGACGUUACUCGCAGAAUAAGCACCGGCUAAGUCUGUGCCAGCCGCCGCCGUAA
RNAcentral lists this ribosomal RNA (503 nucleotides) under uncultured bacterium. Its description in RNAcentral is "partial 16S ribosomal RNA". It matches the Rfam family "Bacterial small subunit ribosomal RNA", at positions 30 to 523 of the family's 1533-position model. The record is from RNAcentral.